Non-coding RNA from Notechis scutatus (mainland tiger snake), 1172 nucleotides. Lineage: Eukaryota; Metazoa; Chordata; Lepidosauria; Squamata; Elapidae. The record is from RefSeq and is a predicted model, not a curated record.
UAGCGCAUGCGCAACGGCCUUCGAGGCGGGGCUUUCCGUUCAGGAGGCCAGAAGGCUGUCGGGAGGAGGGAGCGUCACCGAGGCGGAGGAAACUGGAGAGUUUGAUGACAAAGGUGAAGAGGAAAGGUGAUGGUUAUAUCGGUUGAGGUCAUAAAUCAUGAAUUAACGUUACAAUAGUUCUAGAGCCGGUUAAUUUGGAAGCUUUUCAAACAGCCUCCCACAUGACAGCUAUAGCCAAGAAAAAUGUCUAACCACAAAGAACAAGUAAGCUACGAAAAGAUUGCCUUGCUGGAAGGAUAACAUUUAACUACAGCAGAAAGAUUCUGUAAUAGGAAAUAAAAGAUUUAUGCCAUAAUCUCUCACUCCAGGCAAAGGAAAAAGAAAUGGCCUUGUUCAGUGAACAUUGCUAACAAGAUUUUUGCUGGCUUGUUGAAAAUUACUGAAAAUGUUCCUCACUGCAGCCCUGCAAAAGCUGCUCAACCAUGUGGAGCCUGAUUACCGAAAACAAAAAGAAAGCCACUGGAUAGAUAUCUGCAGAUGCACUAAGGGUAGAGAAGCAUCUCUGGUGUCACUUCAUCUCUCGGAGUAGUUCAGUAAACGAUGGCACUCUGCAAGAUCCAUGUGCACAGAGUCCACAAGGCAAAAUUUGGUCCAACAUCCCAUUGCCUUUUUAUUCCAAGGAAUAAUGAGAGCACCAACCAAACUGUGUGUCAGAGCUUCAUGAAAAACCUCAAGUUUCCUCAGAAACCACAAUAACUUCAUCAGGCUGUCCUUGCUUCCUGAAUAUUUGUUCUGCAACUUUUCAAAGUUACAAAAGUGCUGAGAAAAUAACUAUUGCCAAUUUAUGAAGUUCUCUCAGAGGAGGGAGAUUGGAGAGAAAAGGAUUGCAAGAGAGUAAGUUAUUUGUUCUUCUACACACUAAAACAAUAUAAUGGCGCUAGGAGCCUGGGACUCGGAGCUGCAGAACUGCACUUGCCCUCUGAAUAGAUGUAGAAAAGAAAGUAGAACCAGAACAGAAACUGAACUGAUAAUUUCCCCUUUCAACUCAAUAGUAAAUAAAAGAGGAGCUCCAAAGGCCACAUCCAAAAUUUAGAUGUUGUAGCCAAUGGAACUGAACUGUAGCUAUAUAGUAUUACAAUAAAAGCAUUCAUUCUUCUCCCAUACUAUACAUG